GACGAACGCUGGCGGCGUGCUUAACACAUGCAAGUCGAACGGUAAGGCCCCAGCUUGCUGGGGUACACGAGUGGCGAACGGGUGAGUAACACGUGGGGGACCUGCCCCGCACUUCGGGAUAAGCCUGGGAAACUGGGUCUAAUACCGGAUAGGACCGCACCGUGAGGGUGUGGUGGAAAGUUUUUCGGUGUGGGAUGGGCCCGCGGCCUAUCAGCUUGUUGGUGGGGUAAUGGCCUACCAAGGCGGCGACGGGUAGCCGGCCUGAGAGGGUGGACGGCCACAUUGGGACUGAGACACGGCCCAGACUCCUACGGGAGGCAGCAGUGGGGAAUAUUGCACAAUGGGCGGAAGCCUGAUGCAGCGACGCCGCGUGGGGGAUGACGGCCUUCGGGUUGUAAACUCCUUUCACCAUCGACGAAGGUUUUCUGACGGUAGAUGGAGAAGAAGCACCGGCUAACUACGUG
RNAcentral lists this ribosomal RNA (464 nucleotides) under uncultured bacterium. Its description in RNAcentral is "partial 16S ribosomal RNA". It matches the Rfam family "Bacterial small subunit ribosomal RNA", at positions 28 to 507 of the family's 1533-position model. The record is from RNAcentral.